CUUUGAGUAGGAUACAAGGUACAAAUAAAGAUGGAUGGCAUUUCACAAAUAAUGAGAGAUACACGGUUAAAUCGGGCUACUAGGUGGAACAGGCUUAUCCAGAUAGGAAAAAACCAUUGACUCUGUUUGGCCCACAGUAGAUGUUUUGAAAGCGCUCUAUUGGACUAUACGAUGUCCACCAAAGUUAAAACAUUUUUUGUGGCAGAUGGUUUCAGGGUGCAUAGCGGUUUAAAAAAUAUGAAUGCAAGGAAUAAAAGGGGAUGUAUGUUGUGCGAGAUGUAGAGAUCCCGAGAAAUCAAUAAACCAUGUAUUUUUUAGUGUCCUCCAGCGAUUCAGGUGUGGGCGCUCUCCAAAAUACCAUCAAAUCCGGCUAUCUUUCCAACAAGCUCGCUUUUCACAAAUAUGGAUCACCUAUUUUCGAGAGUUAUCCCGAAAAUGGAUGAUCACUAAUUUGCAUGGAUUUCAUGGUAUAUUUGGAAAGGCAGGAAUAAUAAAGUCUUUAGUAAUAUUGAUAUAGACCCCAUGGAUACUCUUAAUUUGGCAGAGGUCGAAUCCACUCUAUGGGCGGAGGCACAAACUCUGCAUACAAAGGUGGUACCAAACAUAGAAGUGGGGAAUUUACCAUCAAUUCCAGGACGAUGGUGUUUUGUGGGUGCAUCCUGGAAAGAAUGUGACCCAAUGGCCGGACAAGGUUGGUAUAGCAUUUUAGAAGGUUUUGACGGUUUGAUGGGUGCAAGGAAUGUUAGGGCUCCUCUGUAUCCCCUUCACGCGGAGAUGAAAGCACUACUUUGGACUAUGGAAUGUAUGCAAAACUUACGUCAAUUUCAGGUCACAUUUGCAACGGAUUGUUCCCAAUUGGUGAAGAUAGUUUCAGAACCAGAGGAAUGACCAGCUUUUGAAGCUUACUUGGAAGAUCUCAAGAUUUUGAAUGAUAGUUUUCACAGCUCACAGAUCAUUCAUAUCUCGCGGACGCAAAAUAAAAAGGCGGAUAGCCUAGCACGGAGUGCCAAGAGACAGCCGUCUUUCGUUGUCCAUAUGAAUGCGGAACAACCUUUUUGGUUUUCAGAGGCUACAUGAAUCUCUUUGUUGUUGUCAAAAAAAAAAUUUGUAAGCUUACUUUCUUACUGGAUAUUGGUUCAAUUGGUAACAGAUUGAACCCAAUGACCCCCCUUCCCCUAGUUAUCAUGCACACAUAAUUGUCUUCUUUUCUUUUGAUAUAAAAUCAUUAUUUGUUUUAGUUGAGCUUAAUGUAUGAAAUGAAUUUGAACUAUGAUCCAGAUAAAAAAAAUUCCUAGGUCCGCGACUGAUUGAAGCAUGCUUUUCAUAGUCCAUCUUAAUCUGUCAUUUAAAAAAAAAAAAAUUCAUUGUCUUAUUAUAUAUGUAACGUCUGUAAAACAUAUUGUGUAGAAAAGUGGCAUGCAAAAAAAAAAACUCGCACGAUAAGCAUGUUCCGAAAAAUAGACGCAUGAAAAUAAUCUAACCUAUACUAAAAGGAGGAUAUAUUGAUCAGAGAGGAUGUCCACGUCAGACAAUAAAAUCUACCAAUCAAAACAUAGAUAAUUGACACAUCAGAUGACACAUCCUCUCUUCUUCCAUCGACAACUCCUUUUCCUAAAAAUUAUUGUUUCCGCUUCGUCUUUUCUUCUGAACCCCUCUUCGAUCCCGCUUCAGCUUCUGUCAUCUCCUCAACCUCAGUUCCUGACGGUAACUCCGAUCUCAACCACGAGGUGUUCCCCGGAAUGGAAACUGUCUCAUCAAUCUCCCUGAAAGCUCACCAAUCUUCGUCCGUCGAACCUAGCUCGAAGCUCUUCCCCUUCUUUUCCUUACCACGGUGAUUGAAACUUCGAUGUUGAUUCCAAUCUAAAGCCUAAGAUAUGUAAGACGCAAUCAUUACCGUCCUCUUCAUCUUCUUCGUAAAAAGGCAUCUCCGACGCCAUGGUUUUCACAGAUUCUUUUAUUUUCCACUCGAUAUACAGAGACGAACCUUGAAGAACAAUGGCGACUUCCAAGAUACCACUUUCCGAAUAGAAGCCCGUGCGUUGCAGUCGAACCGUUGUCUCACGCUUCUCUGUUUUGGGAAGAUAUGGAAAUGAAGAAAGAUGGUGAACUUAAGGACAUGACAUGCCGCUUUUGGAUGAUAACCAAGCUUCUCCAUCACCUAAACACAUUCAGACAACUUCUUAGGGAGAGAGCUAUGUAUGGGCUUAGUGGGUUUGAUGUGAUCAGAAGCAAAAACCAUUUCAAGUUUUCAGUUUCAGUUGUUGCGAUCAGACUCUACGAGUUUAAAGUCCUUGCUGUUGCUAAUCCCAUCCCAUUCAAGUUCAGUAAGCUCGAGCAAGUGAUAGCGUUGACAAAUACAAAUGUCCAGUUGCAGCCUUAAUGAACUCUUUUACAAUAGACUGGAAACUGGUGUUUGUCAGCCUAGAGUGAUGAUAGCGACCAGCAACAACCCAAAGUUUGUAGGAGCAAGCAAUGGGAGUUGACAUACCUUUCUUGACGAGAAGUUGUUCUGCCUAGGUUCUUCCAUGGGAGGUAUAUUGAUAAGGAAAGUGGAAGUGAUGUUGAAGUGAUGUUGAUCCAAGGGGAGUGUACAUUCAAGAAGGCACUCAAGAUAAAUAAAAUCUAUAGGCUGGAAACUACCACUGCACAUGUUCAACCUGCUUUAGGCCGCAACACUUUUAAGGAGACACUGGUUCUAGCAGCGGAGUGUACUGUACACUCAAGAAGGCACUCAAGAAAAUCAAAUCUCUGACAAGAGCUAGAUCGCUGCUUCUGGAAUGCAUAAUCCACAAAGGGGAUGAGUUCUCUUUCACCAGUGGUUUAAUCGGCUCUUUCAACUCUCUUGCCAGCUUAACUCUCCUAUUUUUCGAGCAAUCCUCUAGCGUCGAAUUUGUUAUUCUGUAGUCUUACAAUUUAGCUAUCAAAAUAGUAUGAUCAUUAUACUAAUCUUGAUUACAACACUAAACAAAGAAAAGAUAAAAACUAUUUUUCUAA
Molecule: long non-coding RNA, 2994 nt
Organism: Brassica napus (rape)
Lineage: Eukaryota; Viridiplantae; Streptophyta; Magnoliopsida; Brassicales; Brassicaceae
Exons: 6
Source: RefSeq, a predicted model, not a curated record